AGUAGGGUGCCAUCAAGAG
Molecule: ribosomal RNA, 19 nt
Filed under: Enterocytozoon bieneusi
Lineage: Eukaryota; Fungi; Microsporidia; Enterocytozoonidae
Description: partial large subunit ribosomal RNA
Source: RNAcentral